Molecule: RNA transcript, 5643 nt
Organism: Mirounga angustirostris (Northern elephant seal)
Lineage: Eukaryota; Metazoa; Chordata; Mammalia; Carnivora; Phocidae
Gene: CPT1B
Gene name: carnitine palmitoyltransferase 1B
Exons: 20
Source: RefSeq, a predicted model, not a curated record
GGGAGUGGUUAAGGGUCCACUCUGCAAGUUGGGAGUCCCCUGCCCUCACCCUCCCUGGCCCCAGCUUAGAAGUGAUACACAGUAGAAGGAUUUGGGUGCGGCGCUGGGGAGUAAUGGGGGUACAAAGAGGGCACUGGGGUGAGGCUGCCCAACCCUGAGCACUGGAGAUCAGGGGACAGGCAGCACAGCUGACUCUCUGAUGACCUUUUCCCUACAUUCAGCUAUUUUUAGCUCUAAUGCUACCAUCCUCACGUGAGACCCUUUGGGCCCCCCCCCCCCAGGUUCCCAGACCUCUGAACAAUCUCAGCUUGCAGAAAUCCGGCCCGCCCCCACUCCUGAUUCCCACCACAGAGAGGACGGGAUUCUGGUUGCCGCCCCACAUCUGUUUUCUCAACCCAAAUUUGGGAGUGGGUGUCAGGUUCCCGGUGAGGGCGGGGCGGGGAUGGCCAGGCCUGAAGGACAUGGGGACACGGGCCAGAGCGACUGGCCCCACACGCGGACAGGAGCGAACCCAAGCCGUGACGGCCAACCUCCAGGAUGGCGGAAGCGCACCAGGCUGUGGCCUUCCAGUUCACGGUGACCCCAGAUGGGGUCGACUUCCGGCUCAGUCGGGAGGCCCUGAAACACAUCUACCUGUCCGGGAUCAACUCCUGGAAGAAACGCCUGAUUCGCAUCAAGAAUGGCAUCCUUAGGGGUGUGUACCCUGGCAGCCCCACCAGCUGGCUGGUCGUCGUCAUGGCAACAGUGGGUUCUUCCUACUGCAAGAUGGACAUCUCCAUGGGGCUGGUCUGCUAUAUCCAGAAAUGCCUCCCUGAGGGAUGUGGCCCCUACUGGACCCCACAGACCCGGGCACUUCUCAGCAUGGCCAUCUUCUCCACGGGGGUCUGGAUGAUGGGCAUCUUCUUCUUCCGCCAAACCCUGAAACUGCUUCUUUCCUACCAUGGUUGGAUGUUUGAGAUGCAUGGCCGGACCAGCCACUUCACCAAAGUCUGGGCUAUCUGUGUCCGCCUCCUGUCCAGCCGGCGGCCCAUGCUCUACAGCUUCCAGACAUCCCUGCCCAAGCUUCCCGUGCCCAGCGUGCCAGCCACAAUUCAGCGGUACCUGGAAUCUGUGCGGCCCUUGAUGGAUGAUGAGGAAUACUACCGAAUGAAGACACUGGCCAAGGAAUUCCAGGACAAGACUGCCCCCAGGCUGCAGAAGUACCUGGUCCUCAAGUCAUGGUGGGCAACUAACUAUGUGAGUGACUGGUGGGAAGAGUACGUGUACCUGCGGAGCAGGGCGCCCCUCAUGGUGAACAGCAACUACUACGUCAUGGAAUUUGUGCUCAUCAAGAAUACAAAUAUACAGGCAGCCCGCCUGGGAAACAUCGUCCACGCUAUGAUCAUGUAUCGCCGUAAACUGGACCGUGAAGAGAUCAAGCCUGUGAUGGCCCUGGGUAUUGUACCCAUGUGCUCCUACCAGAUGGAGAGGAUGUUCAACACUACUCGGAUCCCAGGCAAGGAGUCAGACCUGCUGCAGCACCUCUCCGACAGCAGGCACGUGGCUGUCUACCACAAGGGCCGCUUCUUCAAGGUGUGGCUCUACGAGGGUUCCCAGCUGCUCAAGCCUUGUGACCUGGAGAUGCAGUUCCAGAGGAUCCUGGACGACCCCUCCCCACCUCAGCCUGGGGAGGAGAAGCUGGCUGCCCUCACUGCAGGGGGAAGAGUGGAGUGGGCACAGGCACGCCAGGCCUUCUUCAGCUCUGGCAAGAACAAGGCUGCUCUGGAUGCCAUCGAGCGUGCUGCUUUCUUCGUGGCCCUGGACGAGGAGUCUCACCACUACGACCCCGAAGACGAGGCCAGCCUCAGCCUCUACGGCAAGGCCCUGCUGCACGGCAACUGCUACAACAGGUGGUUCGACAAGUCUUUCACUGUCAUCGCCUUCAAGAAUGGACAGCUGGGCCUCAACACAGAACACGCGUGGGCAGACGCCCCUAUCAUAGGGCACCUCUGGGAGUUUGUCCUGGGCACUGAAACCUUCCACCUGGGCUACACGGAGACCGGGCACUGCCUGGGCAAACCGAACCCCAUGCUUGCAGCUCCCCAGCGGCUGCAGUGGGACAUUCCUGAGCAGUGCCGGACAGUCAUUGAGAGCUCCUACCAGGUGGCCACGGCACUGGCAGACGACGUGGAGCUGUACUGCUUCCAGUUCUUGCCGUUUGGCAAAGGCCUCAUCAAGAAGUGUCGGACCAGCCCGGACGCCUUCGUGCAGAUUGCCCUGCAGCUGGCCCACUUCCGGGACAGGGGCAAGUUCUGCUUGACCUACGAAGCCUCCAUGACCAGGAUGUUCCGGGAGGGACGGACUGAGACCGUGCGUUCCUGUACCAGCGAGUCCACGGCCUUUGUUCAGGCCAUGGUGGAGGGGUCCCACAUGAAAGCAGACCUCCAAGAUCUCUUCCGGAAGGCUUCAAAGAAACACCAGAACAUGUACCGUCUGGCCAUGACGGGGGCUGGGAUAGACAGGCACCUCUUCUGCCUUUACCUGGUCUCCAAGUACCUGGGGGUCAGCUCCCCCUUCCUGGCUGAGGUGCUCUCAGAACCCUGGCGCCUCUCCACCAGCCAGAUUGCUCAAUUCCAGAUCCGUAUGUUCGAGCCAGACAAGUACCCCAAUCACCUGGCUGCCGGUGGUGGCUUUGGCCCGGUGGCAGAUGAUGGCUAUGGGGUUUCCUACAUGAUCGCGGGCGAGAACACCAUCUUCUUCCACAUCUCCAGCAAGUUCUCAAGCUCAGAGACACACGACCACCACCAGGCGGUCCGCAUCCCCAACAUCACUCAGCCAAACAGCCUGCUCGCCUCCCCUGCAGCAGCCGCAGAGACCCCGUCACCUCGCUCCCCGGCUUCCCGCCCUCCCAAGGUGCCCGGAGCCCUCUGGAGACUGAGCGCCUGCACCGGCCCGCGGAGGCACGCGCCGUCUCUCCGGUGUCCUCUGGGCCACCGCGGUGCGUGCAGCCCCCCUCGGGGAUUUGCGCUUCUGCUGCCUGCAGGCCGGCGCGCCCGGGGACUCCUCGCAGCCCCAGGUACUCCGGUCCCUGCCCCACCUCCCGGAGCUUCAGCUUCCUGCCCUGUGACACAGAUGUAACAGCGUCCGCCAGCCCGUCGUCGUCGAGACGGAGAACAUCUGGGCACUGAGCCAACUGAACGAAUGCUGACUGACUAGCCCCUGCUGGCCGAGUGCUGUCCGGGACACCGCGGACACAGUGGUCAGGAGGACAGGGCCCUGCGUGCAUGGCCUUGCCCUCACGAACCACGGAGAGGAACACAACGAUCAGGUCCACGCGCGGACCUCCCUUCACUUCGGCUCUCCCGCCGCCUCAGCCAGGGCUCAGUCAGGAGAGGCCAGCCCGGGCGACCCCACCCCUUGCGCUCUGGAGGCCAGCCAAUGAGACCUCGAGGCCGAGACUCUGGACCAGCCAGAGGGCGGCACGCUCACGUGUUUGCGGCCCAGCCCCUUCCGCUCCGGGAGACUGGCCAAUGAGGGCCAGAAGCCAUCUCCGGGGGCCGGGUCUGCUAACGGAAAGGGGCGGGGUGCUGCGCCCAGCUCCCGCCGCGUGCCGCCCGCCACACAGCUGGGCCGCGGAUCCCCACGCGAGCGCAGGCCGCGCCGGAGUUCUUAUUUCCAGGGGGAUCCCAGCCUCUACCAAACUCUUCAGACCAGGCAAGACCCUGAGACUACAACCAGGACUCCAGGCCCUUGAGCUUUGCACACCUCUGGAGUCUCCAUUCCCCAGGACCCCUGUGACUUCAAGCUCUUCACAUCCAGUCUCCUUAAGCCCAUCCUCUCCCACUCCCACACUCCCUCUGCUCACCUAACCCCAUUAGUCUGCUGUUAUCUCAUUUCCUUGGGCUUGGGCACUGGUCUAGCCCUCCUUUCCAUCCUAGUCUUGCUCACCUGCAACAACCUUAUCAGGAAGAAAAGACAUGGUCUCCCUCUGCCCCAGCUCAUACCCUUUCCGUGGAUCUGCCCAUCCCUCCUCUGAGAUCCAACAUCACUCUGGUCACAACGUCCAUUCCCAGUCCACCUGCCCCUCUUAAUCCACUCUCUUACCUGUGCCCUCACCUUGUCUGUCCACCACACACGUUUCAAAAUCCCAAGCCAGCUACACUCCAUACCUUUUCUUUGUGCUGCUCUAGAGUCCUGAGGGUCCUGUGCAGCCGUGUGGCCCCAGCCACACAACCACUGCUUCUCUGCUGCAUAUCCAAGUGUCUCUAGUGAGGCACAUAGCUUUGCCAAACCUGUAUCAUUCUCCUGAAACCAAGAAUGUCAGUUAGGGUAAGAAUAUGUUCAUUGCUAUUUGUGGAUGAGCUAGAGACCUCAGGCCUGAACCUGGACCACCUGGACCCUUACCUACCUUACCCUUCUCUUCCCUUCAUAGGGUAAGGUGACCUUUUUCCUGUCUGAAACCAGCCCGUGCACCAUUGUUACCCUUUCUCCUGAUUUCAGCCUUCUCUGUUCAACUAGUUCUUUCCGUAUAAACCUAAAGACAGGCAAGUCUCUGCCUUUGUAAAUUAAAAGAGAGAAAACCUUCUCUCUAUCAUCUUGUCACCAUCUCUUGUUUCUCCAGCCUGUCUCAACUGAAUCUGCAUGCUUGUCUAUUUUGUUUAAUGCUCCAUUAAUUCUUUAUUCAUGGAAAUCUUGUUGUCAUUGUUACUGUUAUUCAGCUACUCACUGAGACCUGACACCCAAAUAAAAUGUCCUAAAUUCAUUGGGCCCUUCUGUAAUAUUUGACAUUGGUGUAAUGUCUCCCAAUUUAAAAACAAAAGACACCUGUAACUCCACAUUACAUUCCAACUACUGGCCCUUUCUCUGCUUCUCUUUGAACCAGAACACACAAGUUUUGCUUCUCUUCCCUUCUCUUUAAACACAUUGCAGUCAGGCUUUUGUCCCUGCAAUCCCAUGAAAACAGCUUCUGUCAGGUUUGCAAGUGACCUUCAGAUUGUCGAAUCCAUGUCGAAUCCACUUUUUAUUCCUUAUGCUACUUUAUAUGAGACACAAUUGAUCACUCUUUGUUCACUUUCUUCGCUUGGCUUCCAAGACUUGGCUUCCACUGAUCUCUCCUGGUUCUUCUAGCUCACUGGCUGCUGCCUUUCAGUCGCCUUUGCUGGUUCCUCUUCCCAAAUUCUACACAUUGGAGAGCUCAGAUCUCCCUUCCAUCCACCCUCACUUCCCAGGAGAUCUCAGCUAGUCCCAUGGCUUUAAAUGUCAUCUGUACCCCAGUGACUCCCCAGUACAGAUGUUCAGCCAGGCUUUUCACCACACAGCAGAUUUAUAUUUCUACUUGAAUGUCAGCACAUACUGUUGGCUCCAUGUUUCCAACAUAUUUAGAAUCCAGUCACUUCUCACUACUGCCACUUCUAACACUCUGGUCCAAGUCCUGUCAUCCCUUACCUGGAGUUUUGCAGCAGCCUCCUCUCUGCUCCAUCAUCCCCAUCCCAGUCUGCUCUCAACAUUGCAGCCAGAGUGAUCCUUUGAUUUAUUUGUUUGUUUUAGAGAGAGACAGCACAUGUGCGUAAGCCGGGCUGGUGGGCAGAGGGAGAGAGAGAAUCAUAAGCAGACCCCACACCCAGUGUGGAGCCUGACCCGGGGCUUGGUCCCACAACCCUGAGA